This 480-nucleotide ribosomal RNA is filed under the name uncultured bacterium. Its description in RNAcentral is "partial 16S ribosomal RNA". It matches the Rfam family "Bacterial small subunit ribosomal RNA", at positions 28 to 506 of the family's 1533-position model. The record is from RNAcentral.
GAUGAACGCUGGCGGCGUGCUUAACACAUGCAAGUCGAACGAAGCAUUUGCGACAGAUUUUUUCGGAAUGAAGUUGCUUAUGACUGAGUGGCGGACGGGUGAGUAACGCGUGGGUAACCUGCCUUGUACUGGGGGAUAGCAGCUGGAAACGGCUGGUAAUACCGCAUAAGCGCACAAUGUUGCAUGACAUGGUGUGAAAAACUCCGGUGGUAUAAGAUGGACCCGCGUCUGAUUAGCUAGUUGGUGAGAUAACAGCCCACCAAGGCGACGAUCAGUAGCCGACCUGAGAGGGUGACCGGCCACAUUGGGACUGAGACACGGCCCAGACUCCUACGGGAGGCAGCAGUGGGGAAUAUUGCACAAUGGAGGAAACUCUGAUGCAGCGACGCCGCGUGAGUGAAGAAGUAAUUCGUUAUGUAAAGCUCUAUCAGCAGGGAAGAUAGUGACGGUACCUGACUAAGAAGCUCCGGCUAAAUACGU